GAUGAACGCUGGCGGCGUGCCUAAUACAUGCAAGUCGAACGCGAGCAGCAAUGCUCGAGUGGCGAACGGGUGAGUAAUACAUAAGUAACCUGCCCUAGACAGGGGGAUAACUGCUGGAAACGGCAGCUAAGACCGCAUAGGUAUGGACACUGCAUGGUGACCAUAUUAAAAGUGCCAAGGCACUGGUAGAGGAUGGACUUAUGGCGCAUUAGCUGGUUGGUGAGGUAACGGCUCACCAAGGCGACGAUGCGUAGCCGACCUGAGAGGGUGACCGGCCACACUGGGACUGAGACACGGCCCAGACUCCUACGGGAGGCAGCAGUAGGGAAUUUUCGGCAAUGGGGGGAACCCUGACCGAGCAACGCCGCGUGAAGGAAGAAGGAAUUCGUUCUGUAAACUUCUGUUAUAAAGGAAGAACGGCGGAUAUAGGGAAUGAUAUCCGAGUGA
RNAcentral lists this ribosomal RNA (447 nucleotides) under uncultured bacterium. RNAcentral describes it as "bacterial SSU rRNA". It matches the Rfam family "Bacterial small subunit ribosomal RNA", at positions 28 to 472 of the family's 1533-position model. The record is from RNAcentral.